AGUGAACGCUGGCGGUAGACCUAACACAUGCAAGUCGAACGGCAGCACAGUAAGAGCUUGCUCUUACGGGUGGCGAGUGGCGGACGGGUGAGGAAUACAUCGGAAUCUACUUUUUCGUGGGGGAUAACGUAGGGAAACUUACGCUAAUACCGCAUACGACCUACGGGUGAAAGCAGGGGAUCUUCGGACCUUGCGCGAUUGAAUGAGCCGAUGUCGGAUUAGCUAGUUGGCGGGGUAAAGGCCCACCAAGGCGACGAUCCGUAGCUGGUCUGAGAGGAUGAUCAGCCACACUGGAACUGAGACACGGUCCAGACUCCUACGGGAGGCAGCAGGGGGGAAUAUUGGACAAUGGGCGCAAGCCUGAUCCAGCCAUACCGCGUGGGUGAAGAAGGCCUUCGGGUUGUAAAGCCCUUUUGUUGGGAAAGAAAAGCAGCAGGUUAAUACCCCGCUGUUCUGACGGUACCCAAAGAAUAAGCACCGGCUAACUUCGUG
This 492-nucleotide ribosomal RNA is filed under the name uncultured bacterium. RNAcentral describes it as "partial 16S ribosomal RNA". It matches the Rfam family "Bacterial small subunit ribosomal RNA", at positions 29 to 507 of the family's 1533-position model. The record is from RNAcentral.